AUGUUUGAAACAAAUUAUUGUGAUCAGUUUCGGCCUGAUAUUAAGGUUAAUAUUUUAACUCAAACUUA
RNAcentral lists this transfer RNA (68 nucleotides) under Cladiucha punctata. Its description in RNAcentral is "tRNA-Arg". The record is from RNAcentral. Lineage: Eukaryota; Metazoa; Arthropoda; Insecta; Hymenoptera; Tenthredinidae. RNAcentral also lists the same sequence under 2 other names.